RNAcentral lists this ribosomal RNA (365 nucleotides) under uncultured bacterium. RNAcentral's name for it is "bacterial SSU rRNA". It matches the Rfam family "Bacterial small subunit ribosomal RNA", at positions 29 to 395 of the family's 1533-position model. The record is from RNAcentral.
AUUGAACGCUGGCGGCAUGCUUUACACAUGCAAGUCGAACGGUAACGCGGGGGCAACCCUGGCGACGAGUGGCGAACGGGUGAGUAAUACAUCGGAACAUGUCCUGGAGUGGGGGAUAGCUCGGCGAAAGCCGGAUUAAUACCGCAUACGCUCUGAGGAGGAAAGCGGGGGACCUUCGGGCCUCGCGCUGCAGGAGUGGCCGAUGUCGGAUUAGCUAGUUGGUGGGGUAAAGGCCCACCAAGGCGACGAUCCGUAGCUGGUCUGAGAGGAUGAUCAGCCACACUGGGACUGAGACACGGCCCAGACUCCUACGGGAGGCAGCAGUGGGGAAUUUUGGACAAUGGGGGCAACCCUGAUCCAGCCAU